GGCGAACGCUGGCGGCGUGCCUAAUACAUGCAAGUAGAACGCUGAAGAGAGGAGCUUGCUCUUCUUGGAUGAGUUGCGAACGGGUGAGUAACGCGUAGGUAACCUGCCUUGUAGCGGGGGAUAACUAUUGGAAACGAUAGCUAAUACCGCAUAACAAUGGAUGACACAUGUCAUUUAUUUGAAAGGGGCAAUUGCUCCACUACAAGAUGGACCUGCGUUGUAUUAGCUAGUAGGUGAGGUAAUGGCUCACCUAGGCGACGAUACAUAGCCGACCUGAGAGGGUGGUCGGCCACACCGGGACUGAGACACGGCCCAGACUCCUACGGGAGGCAGCAGUAGGGAAUCUUCGGCAAUGGGGGCAACCCUGACCGAGCAACGCCGCGUGAGUGAAGAAGGUUUUCGGAUCGUAAAGCUCUGUUGUAAGUCAAGAACGGGUGUGAGAGUGGAAAGUUCACACUGUGACGGUAGCUUACCAGAAAGGGACGGCUAACUACGUG
Molecule: ribosomal RNA, 497 nt
Filed under: uncultured bacterium
Lineage: Bacteria
Description: partial 16S ribosomal RNA
Rfam family: Bacterial small subunit ribosomal RNA
Source: RNAcentral